CACGUGCGCCAUCAUGUUCAGCUCAGCGGAUCAGCUCAAGUGUGUGGCUACAGCUGGUGUCCUCCAAUGCUUUGUUCCCCAGUCAUCAGCAAUGUGCAAGUUACCCGGACCUUCAUCGAUGGCGGCGCAUGGCUCAAUGUUCUGUCCGUCGAGACAUUCAACAAUCUCCAAGUGCCAUAUGAUCAGCUUCAGCCAACCAAGCAUUUCUCAGGAGUCACUGACGGCUCCACCACCUCGAUAGGGCAGGUUCGCCUCCCUGUCACCUUCAGGCAACGCAAGAACUACCGUACCGAGCUCAUCGACUUCGACGUUGCCCACAUUCGCCUGCCAUACAAUGCCAUCCUUGGGUAUCCAGCCCUGGCCAAGUUCAUGCCAGUGACUCACCAUGGUUACAAUGUCCUCAAGAUGCCGGGAAGCGGUGGAGUCAUCACAGUCCCCUGCGAAGAGAAGGAUGUGGUAUGCUCUCUCGAGCUUGCCUUCCAAGCUGCAUCAGUUGAGGACCCAAACAGCAAGAGUGAG
This 519-nucleotide ribosomal RNA is filed under the name Triticum aestivum (bread wheat). Its description in RNAcentral is "partial small subunit ribosomal RNA". The record is from RNAcentral. Lineage: Eukaryota; Viridiplantae; Streptophyta; Magnoliopsida; Poales; Poaceae.